AGGCAUCUAUCUGACAGACCUGGAGCCGUUUACAGUCUCCUGCUAAGAUUUCCACUACAGGUGCAAGAAAACAGUGUCCUGGUGCUUUCUGUCUGUCUGAUUGUGGCAGCCAAGACUGAACAGAGGAAUACGGGG
Molecule: small nucleolar RNA, 135 nt
Filed under: Propithecus coquereli (Coquerel's sifaka)
Lineage: Eukaryota; Metazoa; Chordata; Mammalia; Primates; Indriidae
Description: Small nucleolar RNA SNORA31 (ENSPCOG00000001077.1)
Source: RNAcentral